Molecule: ribosomal RNA, 465 nt
Filed under: uncultured bacterium
Lineage: Bacteria
Description: partial 16S ribosomal RNA
Rfam family: Bacterial small subunit ribosomal RNA
Source: RNAcentral
CCUACGGGUGGCAGCAGUGGGGAAUAUUGCGCAAUGGGCGAAAGCCUGACGCAGCGACGCCGCGUGAGGGAUGAAGGUCUUCGGAUCGUAAACCUCUGUCAGCAGGGAAGAACGGUCACUGUGCUAAUCAUCAGUGAAUUGACGUUACCUGCAAAGGAAGCACCGGCUAACUCCGUGCCAGCAGCCGCGGUAAUACGGAGGGUGCGAGCGUUAAUCGGAAUUACUGGGCGUAAAGCGCUCGUAGGCGGUAUGUCAAGUCAAGGGUGAAAUCCCCGGGCUCAACGUGGGAACUGCAUUUGAUACUGGCAAACUGGAGUGUGGGAGAGGUAAGUGGAAUUCGAGGUGUAGGAGUGAAAUCCGUAGAUAUCUGGAAGAACAUCGAUGGCGAAGGCAGCUAACUGAAACAUAACUGACGCUGAGGAGCGAAAGCGUGGGUAGCAAACAGGAUUAGAUACCCUAGUAGUC